This 43023-nucleotide long non-coding RNA is filed under the name Fragaria vesca (wild strawberry). Its description in RNAcentral is "long non-coding RNA (FVES_LNC005543)". The record is from RNAcentral. Lineage: Eukaryota; Viridiplantae; Streptophyta; Magnoliopsida; Rosales; Rosaceae.
UCAAGCUAGAAAACUAUGUACUUAACUAACUUGAAGAAGGAAUCACUAAUUCCUAAAAGCUAAAGGAUACACCCGUAUCACAAAAAGUCUCAUCAAAAUCUAAACCUUCUAUUUGAGAAUACCCUUGCACGACAAGUCUUGCCUUGUUUCGGGUGAUAAUGCAUUUUUCAUCAGUUUUGUUUUUAAACACCCAUUUGGUUCCUAUGACAUUUUUGUCCUUAGGCCUAGGCACUAAAUGCCAAACAUUGCUUCUUUCAAACUGGUUCAACUCGUCUUGCAUGGCACUGAUCCAAUCAGCAUCAACCAAGGCUUCCUUCACAUUCUUUGUCUCUAUUAUAGAAACAAAGCCAUAGUAUGUGAUGGUGUUGAUGUCAUCUUUAUGCAUAGCAACAAAACAUUUAAACACUGAGAAAUUGCUCACCAAUCGACCAGUCUUACUCCUGGUCUUUCUCGGUUCAGACACAUCCCCAAUUACAUGGGAUAGAUCAUGGUCCUUUUGUACUUGUCUUUUGCCACUUUUGUAAAUUGGCUGAAUGGUAAGUGUAGCAUCCUUCCCAGAUCCUGAAACAUCUGUGUCAUCAUCCAUCCCUGAGUCAUCAUCUCCUUGAUCAGACUUGGUUUCAGAUGAGGUAGGUUCAGCUUCCUGUUCAGAUACCUGCUUAAACAAAACACACCCAUCAUUCUUGCAAACAAGAGCAUCAUUAACAAUCACAUUUACUGAUUCCAUAAUUUUGCAAGUUCUCUUGUUAUACACCCGAUAAGCUCGACUAUUUCCAGCAUAGCCAAGGAACACACCCUUGUCACUUUUAGCAUCAAACUUUGUCAAAUACUCUCUGUCCCUAUAAAUAAAGCAGGGACUUCCAAACACUUUGAGAUGAGAGACAUUUGGUUUCCUACCUCUCCAGAUCUCAUAAGGAGUCAUGGUUGUUCCAGGUCUAAGAAUUACACGGUUUAAAGUGUAACAAGCAUUAUUUACUGCUUCUGCCCAAAAAGAAUGAUCAAGACUAGAUGCAGCUAGCAUAACCCUAGAUAAUUCCAUAAGAACCCUAUUCUUUCUUUCUACAAUGCCAUUAUGCUGUGGAGUAAUAGGAGCAGAGAAUUCAUGAUGCACACCAAACUCUUCACAAUAAUUUUCAAAAUAAGAGUUUUCAAAUUCAGUACCAUGAUCUGAUCUGAUCCUAACAAUAUGCAUGUCAUCAUUCAAUUUCUCAUUUGCGACUCUCUUAGAAACACUGUAAUAAUUUUCAAAAGUUUCACCUUUGUUAAACAAAAAUCUCACCCAAGUGAAUCUAAAAAAAUCAUCAACAAUUACAAGAGCAUACUUUCUUCCUCUAAUACUUUUAGUUUCAACAGGUCCUACUAAGUUGAGAUGCAGCAGUUCAAGAACAUGAGUAGUAGGAUCAUUAUUUAAUAGAGGAUGAGAAGUUCGAGUCAUCUUACCAACUUUACAUUCACCACACAUACCUUGGGGGAUACCGGCAAGCUUUGGUAUCCCUCUGACAGCUUCUUUUGAGGACAGCUUCAGUAUAUCCUGAUGGUUCAAGUGACACAUUCGUUUGUGCCAAAGGUCUAAGGGUUCCUCACAGAUCAUAGAUCUAAAACACAGUUAGGGUGAGAACUUCUCUUUUGCUACAACACAAUAGCAUUGAUCUCUAGUUCUCUUUCCUCUCAUUACGCUCUUCCCCUUACCAUCUAAGACAACACAUCUCUGCUUAUCAAAGGUGACUGAGUCAUGUUCAUCAACAAUCUGACUUACACUUAACAAACUCACUUCUAAACUCUUGACCAAAAGAACGUUUUUCAGACAAGGGAGACCAGGGGCAUUUACUGUCCCGCUUCCCACUAUCGGAGCCCGAGCUCCAUCCCCAAAACCAACAUUCCCUUCUGGAUGACCGUCAUCCAUGGUCGAAAACCACUUGGGAUCUCCGGUCAUGUGCCUUGAAGCACCACUGUCUAUAUACCAAGAAUCAGCACAACGCACUGCGAGGGCUGUAAGAGCUACGCGACACACCGCUACUAUUCUAGACUCCUCAACAGACUCUAGACUAGUCCAGACACGAGACAAGAAACACACAAUGUUUUCCUCCUCAAGGUCACUGUCACACUCAUCAACAAGCUUCAAAUCCGUGUGUGGAGGUUUGAGGACAUAAGGUCUGGAAUCCUUCUUCUUAACCCAAGCUAAGUUCUUGUUUGGUUCUCUAGCUGCGGGAACAGACAGACCCUUAGCUAACCUUAGCAAACUCCUGCAGAGAUUUCUCUAGAGUGACUUGGAAAGAUGUGAAAAAAUUUACAACUGACUUGUUGCUCUAAAAGCUGGAAAACUCUUGGUUUCUUCUAGGGUAUGCCUGGCUGUUUUGGAGUUUCCUACAAAAAGGUCGAAUGUGACCAAGGACACCACAGUGAUGACAAGUAGGUUUGAAUCUUUUUGGGGACUCAACCUUGUUGGUCACUAAUUUAACAUCAGGAACUUUGCUUUUGACAAAUACAGUUCCACUACUUUUAGAGUUCUCGCCAGUUUCAAACCCUAGACCAUGUUUGUUCUUAUCUGGUCUACCUAUUCCACACAUCUUUGAGAGAAGCCUCAAGCGCCAGCUUAUUAGCCUUAAGACCACUAAGAGAGUUUUCUAGACUCAGCUUUUCAGCUCUCCACACUUUUUGCUGGGAUAGCAAUUCACACUUCGCAAGAUUUUUGGUCAGAAUAUCUAUCUUAGACAACAUGGACUUUGAUGCGUUGACAAGUUUAGUGAACUUUUGCAUUCCAUCAUCAUCAUCGUCUUCAUCCUCCGGAGUCUCGUUUUGAGAUACCGUGGCAAUGAAGGCAACUGGUUUUUCAACAUGAUCCAAAGAGGAAACGGGGACAACCCGAGCUGUGAAAGCUACAGUAUCCUCCUCUUGAUCAGACAAGGGAUCCUCUUCACUAUCAUUGUAAGUGACAACAAGAGCCUUUUGAAGGCAAACCCUUCUAUUUGCACAGUCAACAGCUCUAUGUCCCACACCCUUACACUCAAAACACACAUCGCUUCUUUGAGAAUUCUUACCCUUAGGAUUUCUAUCUUGACCUCUAUCCUGAGAGGGCUCAGCACGAGAGUUCCUAGGAUAUCUGUCAUGCCCUCUAUCUUGUGACGUCUCACCAAAUCUAGAUUUUCCGAAACCCCGGUUCGAGGAAAACGGUUUCCUCCUUUUCUUGAGAAAGUUUGCAAACUGUUUUGUAAGGAGGGCACACUCUUCUAGACUAUAUUCGACAUCCUCAGGAAUUUUAAUUUGUAAACUUGACUCAGUUUCCUUGACAGAGGAGAGGGCAAUGGAUUUCUCUUUCAUCAAUCUCUUCUUAUGGGCUUCAUAGGUUUUCAGGUUUCCUACUAGCUCUUCUAGAGAAUAGGUUCUUAAAUCCUUGGAUUCCUGAAUGGCUACUCUCUUAUUCUCAAAACUAGGAGGAAGGCCUCUAAGAAGUUUUCUGACAAUCCUAGAUUGUUCUAGAGGGGAAUCAAGACCAGCACACUGGUUUGUUAUGUUUAAAAUACGACUAUAAAACUCAUCUAUUGACUCACUUUCAGACAUUUUCAGCUCAUCAAAGUCUAACAAAAGAUCUUGGAGCAUCUGUUCUCUCACUUGCUCAUUACCUUCGUAGGUUGUUAACAACACUUCCCAAGCCUGUUUGGCCGAGACACAGGUAAGGAUUCGUUUGCGCUCCCCCUCAGAGAGAGCCGAGUACAAACUGUUGAGAGUUUUGAUAUUCAUCCGAGCAACAAUUUUUUCUGAAUCGGUCAACUCAAAUCUAGGCUUCGAUACACUUGCACCUGCCAGGAUUGAGGUCCGUUCUGGGGCUGACCAGCCAUCCUCAACCAUCAUUGUUUCCCAUCAUCUUGGGAAAUAAAGAAUGCGGUCAUCAUGAUUUUCCAUUGUGAAAAGUUCCUUCCUUCAAACAGAGGAGGACAGUUCACGGAAGUACCUCUAUCACCCAUUUUAAAACCCGAGGAUCUUGCUAGCAAAGGCUAGGAACUGCUCUAGUACCACUUAAAGGUCCUAGGAGGGGGGGGGGGGGGGGNNNNNNNNNNNNNNNNNNNNGGGGGGCGAAUAGGCCUUUUUCUGAAUUUUCGUUGACUUCUGUAUCCGAUGAUAGCAAUGACUUGUGCUAUCCCAGAUUCACAGGAUACGAGUUUGUAUAAAGUAAAUUGCAGCAAAUAAAGAAACAACACAAGGAUGUUUUUUUACUCGCAGAAACCCUGAAUGUAGGGAGAAAAACUGCGUGUCUCUAAAUCUUGAUAGACAAAACUUUCCACUAAGUUGAAGAAACUUCUUACAAGAAUAUUAGUUCUAGUGAUACACUACCACAAUGUUAUCCUUCCUAGUCUCAAACUAGUCUAGACCUAUUCCCUCUCUUGUUUCUAAGCUCUUACAACAUGGAACACUUUCAGAAGCCAUGUUCAUGAAUUCAGCUAACCACUAGCUGAUUCAACCUUGAACGCUUCUUGGGUUGGUUGCACUACACAUCCCUCAUGGUAUGCAACAUGAUAUGAGUUGAUGAAAGAAGUUUUGAGUUCAAGCUCUAAGGUUUACAAUCACGAGGAAGACUUAGAGCAACAUGAACAAUGCAAGCUAAAACUAGACUCAACAAAGAAAACGCAAUAAGGCAGUUUUCAACAACCAUUGAGCAAAACCAAAGCUAUAGAUAUAUAUAGGCAGACAAGGCAUCAAAGAUGAUGCAAGCUGACCUCAGCAUGUUUUAGAAAGAUUUGGACAAAAGUGUUUGACUCCCAUACUGAAAGUGAUGUGUCCAACCAAAGAGAUAUCACAAGCAAUCUCAAUAAGACAAAGGAACUUUUCCUAAACAUGAACGAUUCAAAACAGAGAGCAAAGAGGUUUCAAACCCUCUUACUCAGUCCAUUAGUGGACCUUGACACAGCCGAUAGCGACUGGUCUUUGAAUCACACAGAGACCAGCUUUGUAUUGGAUAAUGUAUCAUAAAAUCCAAGCUGGAGCCUUGAGCAUCAAACUAUUUGGUCAUGGGUUGGCAUAGCAAAAGAUCUCAACCCUUAGACUGGUUUGAGCGCCAAGGCAUUUCCCACCAACACGGUUGUCCAUUUGAAUUUGAAAACCAACAAAGACCUAAUUAACUAAUAUAACAGGUUCUUUGAAGAUCAGGACAACAAAAGACUCAGUACUAGGAUAGCAAGCGAAGCUGCUAACCUUUGUGAAAAACAGUGAUAUGCAGAUGCAUGUUUUACCUGAAACCAUAAGGGAUGUUAGUGACACUUGUUCUUGUUCAGAUGUCAAUAUCUCAAAGUGUUUUGCAGGAUAAAAUGAUUGUCAACUAUCCUUAUACCUUCACCAUACAUUAUGAGGUUUGAAGCCCCCCAGUAUAGAGAUCAUGAACUGCAAUACUGGUUCUGAGGCUAUUCUUCUCAUAAGGGAAUUGCAUGAAGGCACUUUGAACUUUUAAUUACUCCCAGCAAUAUCACGUCUCCCUGUAUGUAGAUGCAUAUAAUUAAGCUGCUAGGCUAUUUAAUCAUAUACAUGAUAAAGAGCCUCUUGUACGUAUUAUCUUCUACUGGCAGCUUCUUCUCCUCAAUCAUCUUUUCUCCAGAUAUACCAAGUCUGUGAUGGAGAUAUCAACAUGCACAACUCAUAGCCACUGUGUUGGUUAGAUAUAUAUCAAUCCACUUACUGGAAAAACAAAAGGCUAUAAUCUCUGCAUAUGUAUGCAUAAGGUCUAACAACUAAACCUUUGAUGCCGCUUUAAUUGGCAUUAGACUAUAAACCACAGUUACUGGUUUUAAAGUGCUAAGAUAUCACAAAGCACCAGAGAUAUAAGCCUCCCAGCAUGUGAAAAUAAAGCUUCGCAUACCUUGAUAAUGGUCUGUUUGAGCGAACAAGGUAGCCUUCGGGGUUAACCUCCUCAUGAAAUAAGAUGCCACAGUUGUUGGUACAAAAAUAUUUUGAAAACCACUGAUUGGUUUUUUGUACUUCAAAGCAUGAGAAGAAGAGUUGAAGAAAUUCUUGGCACCUGUCUCUACUUUGUUGGCAUCCAAUACUCACGCCACUGAUGCAAGACCUCCUUUGACUUGGUAGCUUGUUAUUGCCACUUUGAAGCAAAUUAGGCAUGAUGAUGAAUUUAUGAUGACCAUGCUUCCUUGUAUAUGGAUACAAAUAAGUUACCAACAUAGUUAACCAACUCCACUUAUGCACAUACUCCUCCUAUUAUGGAACCUGAAAGCUUGCACAAGACAUUCUGCCCAAGAGUAAUGCUUUCAUGUAAUCGUAGAGCAACAGGCCAACAACUAGCCCCCCAAGUGUAUCCUCAGUAGCACUUCUGGUCAGCCAAAUCUCCAAGCAUGAUAAAAUAUAAGCCACUGUAAUUGGCUUUAAGAAACACAGAUGUUGUUUCGGAUAUUCAGAAUUAAAGGCCACAGUUAUUGGCCAAGUAAAUCAUGACUGCUGUUGCCUAUAUCUCAACAAGAAUGUUAACAAAGCAACACCUUUGGAAGCCACAGGUGUUGGCUUCUAAAAUAAUAAGACAUCACCAAAACUCUGCACAAAAUCUCACAAACUUCAAAAAAUUUGUACCUGAUUCUGUCCCAAUUUGCCCCCCAGUUUUGGUGUCCGAAAUUGAGCGAAUGAAGGGUAGCAAAACUUGAGUCUCAAGCCCCCCAAGUAUGAAAGCAUGUAUAGAAAACAAACCAGUAUGCAUUCGCCGAGCGAAAGGUACCGUGCUAGAAGCUCCAAAGGUCAUGAACAAACACAUGAUGCUGAUUGUCGUGCAUUCUGACCUUCUGGUACUCAAACUGCCAUAACUCUCUCCUGGAAUGUCGGAAUUACAAACCGUAAAUUUUGUUGAAAAGUAGACAUCCAGGGCUUCCGUGCAUAUGCAGCUUGCUUGCUGGUUCAUCCUAGAUCUGCCCAGUUUAAUCCGUGAAGUUGCUGCACAAUAGAGGCUGCUGUAAUUUGCAGAAUUGCAAACUUUCUUCUUCUCUUCUGUGUCUGCACUUUGUUGUUUCAAUGGCAGUGACUCCAAGACAUAUAGAUUGUAUUUUGCAUCCGAGGCCUGAGGUGUAGGCCUCUAAGUGUAUGAUAUGAAAUUCAAACCUCUUGCCAGGUAAGAACAUUAUCUUGCAUUUCAGCAAAACACAGAAUCUCUUUUGGAUUUUUUAUUUUUCAAUGCAAGAAAUAAAACGGAACUGAAAGCAAAAGAAAGAAGGAAUCUCAACAUGAUUAGUUACCCUUCGAAAGGCCACAGGGGAGGCCACCAAUGCUUCACUCCAAGCCUUGACAUGUUGACAUUCGCGGCAUGAGACUCUCUCUUGCGAGAAUUUCCAAGUGUUGAGCAGAGAUGCUUUGUGUCACUCACUUGAAAAUUUUGGAAACGCUGCUCGUAGGGUAUGUCUCUUAGCCCCCAUGCAUCUUCGUCAUUUGACAAAGCAUAAUCUUUAAUUGAAGUUUUGCAGAUGGUAUAGAGUAGAGAUCCGCCUUGUCGCCAACUACCAUGUCGUAGUGCAUGAUGUCUUCAAAGGUAGCCACCAAUUGGCUGUCAUAAGAAACCACUUGCUGGUUUAUAUUUUUAUCAACAAGAGACUCAAAGUAGACCUCCUGUGUGUGUGACAUGCUGAUGUUAGAGCCAAUGAUUAACCUGUAGUUACCAUCAUACUCAUCAUAGAUUGGUUCCACAUCAGAAUCAUAAUCACCACAGAUUGAUGAGUUAGUCGUGUUAACGUGAGUCUCAAUCCUAGUAUAUUGGGAAGAUGUAUAUUCUGUAAUCAACUAGGAUUAUGUAAAUCUUUCGGUGUAAUUAGUUUCCUUCUACGGUUAGAACUGUGCUUGUAUAUAUACCCGACUUAGGGUUUGUUCAAUACAUCAGAAAAUUCCCAACCUUUUGUGUUCUGUUUGACUUGGCAUCAGAGCCUAAGUCGAUCCUGGCAAUCUUGGUAAUCUGACCCUGUUGUUUUCCGCUGCAAAUUUGUAAACCUGUCCCAAUUUGAUCUGUUCGACGUGUCGAAGGAAGCUUUCGAUUUCGUCGAAUUUUGUCGUACUUGUUUUGUUCCUCUGACAUCAAAUCCACUUUGCAAUGGAUCUUGCAAUCUUUGGUGAUCAACCUGAAGUUUCCCGUGAACAAUUGAUGGCUCUUCAAAACAAGAGCUCAGGCUUUGGAGUGAAACUGGAUGGCACAAACUAUCCAGUAUGGCGACGACUUAUGAAGAUGCAUCUUGGUGGUGUGGGCAAGUGGGAAUAUGUCGCUGGCACUCUCCAACGACCUGAAGAAGUUGGCAAGGCACAAGCUAUGUGGGAUGCUGCAAAUUCUAAUACGAUGGUGCUUCUUCUCAAAUCCAUGACCAGACCAAUCAUGCUGUUGUUGUCAAGCUAUACGACACCAAAGGCAAUCUGGGAUGCAGUCGCAACCACAUACUAUGAUGGGAGUGAUUUUGCAACAGUUCAUGAGUUGACCUGUCAAGCUUUCGCAACCACUCAAGCUGGUAAGCCUCUUGCAGAAUAUUAUGCCGGCUUGAAGGCUAUCUGGCAAGAGUUGGAUGAAAGGGACCCCAAUCUUAUGGUGUGUGAUCUGGAUAUAACUACACACAACAAGUCCCAAGACAAGAUGCGAGUCCACAUCUUCUUGAAUGGAUUGGAUUCAAAAUUUGCUACUUCUAAGGGAGAACUGCUUCGACAAGCCACACCACCAAGUCUGGAACAAGCUUAUGCUUAUGUACGCAAAGAUGAAUCCAAUCAGUCUAGCGCAAAGGAGUUGCAUAUCGAGGUAUCCAGCCUCACUGUCUAAUCUAAACCUCAACAAGAUCGGAAACCAAAGAACCAAGACAGUGAACUUCGAAUCCAGCCUGCUCAUGGACCAGAUCUUGCUAAGGUGCAGUGCUUCUAUUGUAAGGAGUUUGGACACUAAAAGAACUCGUGUCCUAAGAAAACAAAUCAAGGAGCUACCUAUGAUAAAAGUCGCGGUGGCAAGGCUGCUAUUCAGUUGGUCCAAGAACUUGAUUUCUAUGGAGUAGGAGGAUAAGACCUCACCACAGGUAUGUGUUCUCAGGAGAGAAGAGGUAAAAUUGGUAUUGCAUUAAAAAUUUCUUACUUUAUUGGUAGUGAUACAUGGAUAAUUGAUUCUAGUGCGUCUGAUCAUAUGACAUUUGAUAAGUCCUUUUUUUCGAGUAUGUUCCCAUCUCCCAUACCUGAAGUGUCUAAUGCAAAUGGGGUGUCCUUCCCGGUCCUAGCCUCCUAGGUAUAGGGUCAAUUCAAGUUACUCCAACAAUUGUGUUAAACAAAGACCUUUAUGUUCUCGCUCUAUCACAUCACUUAUUGUCUGUUUCUGAAUUGAAUUCACAAAACAAAUGCUAUGUAACCUUUUUUCCUAUGUAUGUUAUCUUCCAGGACCUAUCAUCUCAGGCGAUAAUAGGCAAGGGAGAUAUGCGGGGGAGACUAUUUCACUUGGAUUGCAUGUAUAGCGGGGAAGCAAGAGCACCGUCACCAACCGUUGCCCUGACAUUGAGUUCUGAUCGAGUAAAAGAAAUUUGGCUAUGGCAUCGCCAAAUGGGUCAUCCAUCUUUUGGAGUCAUGAAGAAGUCGAUGCCAUCUUUGUUUUUUGGAAUAAAAGAGUCAAGUCUCCAUUGUGAAACUUGUGUUUUUGCUAAGAGUCAUAAGUCUAGUUAUUCUCCUAGUUUUUCUUCUAGUUCUGCACCAUUCGAGUUGAUUCAUUCUGAUGUAUGGGGGCCUUCGAAGAAUUUGACAUUGACAGGAAUAAAGUACUUUGUUUUGUUUUUUGAUGACUUUACAAGAUUAACUUGGGUUGUGUUAUUGAAAAAGAGGGAUGCAGUGUUUUCAGCUUUCACCGCUUUUCAUAGUCUCAUCUGACAAUGAUGCUUGUGUGAAAAUAUUUCGAUCUGACAAUGGAGGAGAGUUUGUUAACCACUCUUUCCGAGACUAUUUUUGUAACAUCCCGGACCUAAUUUUACCCUUUUUACUGGGUAUUUGACGAGUUACUGAGGAAUUUAACCGUGCUUGUAAUUUGGUAAUUUAUCACUCGAGUUUAUUGUCGAGUUUUACUCAAAAUGUUAAAUUCCUCUUUUAAGGGCUCGAUUGUAGUAUGUGUCGACAUGGGUUCAGCGGUGCCUAUAGAUGAUUUAUCAGAGGUUUGGUUAAGUAUAGAAAUUAUAUUUUCGGAAGCAAAUAACGUUUAAUCCAGGCUGUCAUAUCUAUUAGGGCUUUGAUCUGGGCCGUAGAAUUUAAGCUUAAAAGGGUAAAGUGGAGCUUGACCCAGUCAAAAACCCAACACGGGUUUGACCGAGCCUAACCGUCUCCCUCUCUCUUCUCCCUCGUCUCCCUCUGUCGCUGCCUUCUCCAGCGCAGCUCCGCCGUCUCUGGCCACCCCUGGCGGCGAGACCACCGCCGUUCUCUCCCUCUCCUCCUCUCCUUUCUGGCCCAGCCGUGGAUCGCAUGUCUGACCGAAAUCGAGGGAGAUCGAAAGCAUGGAUACUUCACUGGUUGUGCUGAUUUCCGGCGAGCUCCGGCGGAGGACAGCAGCAUUGAAGGGUAUAUUCUUGUUCUCUUCACUUCCCUCUCCCUUUCUUUGUCAUUUAUUGUGCGAAUCGAACCCUAACCUAGAAACCCCUUUCUUCUUUUUUCUGGGUUUCGAGCUCUUAGCUCCGGCGAUCGGCGUCCGAUGGUUUCCGGGCGAGUGCUCUGGGUUUUUGCUGAAGCCGAUGAGGCUUCAUGGUACCUCUUGUCUCCAUCCCGAUGACUUGCUGAGCUCCAAGAGGCCAAAUCGAUCGUGUGUGGAGGCUUGAGGUGUUGUUGCUGCUUAAUGGGAGGAACCACGAACCUGGAAUCCGACAAGAGAGCCACUGCCGGCAAGAGAAGCUUUGCUGUCAUCUGAAGGUAAUCUUCUUGCAUCUAGAGUUAUUGGGUUGCUGCUGUGUUGAUUAGGGUUUGAGAAAAUUUGGUGUAUGGCUGCUAAUGUGAAUGUUUUGGUUGUUGUUGUCGAUAACUUGGAAUUUGGAGUAUACGGGGAAGUUAUGGCGAAAUUCCGGCAAGUGGCCGGAAUCCGGCAGAAUAUUCCGGCAAGUCGUCGGAAUCCGGCGAAGGCAGUUAGUCCGACAAGAGCAGUUGAGGUAGUUAUCGAAGUUUUCCUUUUAUUUUGCGUUGUUUCAUAAAUAGGAAAGUUUGUCGGUUUAUAAUCGGAAAUCUUUCUAAGUGAGGAAAGUUCCUAUUUUGGGAAACUUUCCCUUUUUGGAAACUCCCUAUUUAUGGAAACCCUUUUUGGGUGCCCUUAGUAAAUUUUAGGGUGAAGUUGUGUAGAGAGGAAAUGAAGGAAAUUCUUGGUUUUGUUUGUGAGCAUGUUUGAUCGUAGGGGAUCAUAAAAUAAUUUUGGAAGUAUUUUGGUUAAUGUGUUAAGGCAUGGAAAUUGAUGGUGACUUUGAUUCUAGGAUAAGGUUCAUUCCGAAUAAGUCAUAGUUGCGAAGUUUAGUCGGAAUUGAUUAUUAAUAUAUGUCGGUAAAUCCUGGUCAACCCAGGAAACUUAGUCAAUUUAAGAAGAAGACGAAUCAAUGAUUAUUUCGGAAUCUGGUUUGACCGAUUUAUUCUGCUGUUUAUCAUCAGACGUGGGAUUGACUCGAGAUUAUGAAUAGUGGAGGCAGCGCUCGAGGAGUAUGCCGAGCAUUGGAAGGCUUAGGCCUAAUACUGUGAGUGGACUUUUAUUUGAAAUAAUAUGCAUACUAUGNNNNNNNNNNNNNNNNNNNNCACUCACUCUAACGGUUUCAAAUUUUCCCCUGGGCUCUUCGUUUAAAAUGCCCAGUUUGCAGGAUUGCAUAGUUGUGGUCGGACGUAUUUGGAGAAGAGGCAUAGUCAAUAGUGUAGCUUCCGCUCAUUUUUAUAUUUCUAGUUUAUUUCCUUUCAAUUAGAAUUGCUCUGAACUGUGAUGGUUGGUUGUGAGAUUAUUCUUUUAAAGUUAGUAAAUAAUUUGGAGAUGUUGUGAUUUGGGGAGCACGAAGGCUCCAGGAGUUCAAGGUUGGAUUUAAAUUUUCAGAAGUGUUUGCAGGUUUUAGGAAGGGUUGUCCAUUUUCAAGGGAGGUUAUGCCGAAUUUUCGGUAAAUUUUCCUUGGAGGUGGUCCCCGCACGACUUACUCUGGGUUUCAGGGUGAAAUUUGGGGCGGGUCGUGUCAAUUUUCAGCAACAUGGAAUUGUUCAUCGGACUACUUGUCCUCAGACACCAGAACAGAAUGGGGUAUCUAAGAGGAAAAAUCGACACCCCUUGGAUAUUGGAAGAGCUCUCUUACUCAGUGUCAAUCUACCCAAAUAUCUCUAGGGUGAAGCUGUGUUGUGUGCCUCUCACCUUAUCAACCGUCUAUCAUUUGCAGCUCUUCAGAAUCGGGUUCCCUUUGAGGUAUUGUCUGAACAUGUUACUAUUCCAUCACUCAACAAACUUCCUGCUCGUGUCUUUGGUUGUGUGGCAUAUGUUCAUCUUUACAAAAAUCAGAGAUCUAAGUUGGAGGCUCGUUCCCUUAAGUGUGUGUUUGUUGGAUACGGAUCCCAUCAGAAAGGAUAUAUAUAAGUGCUACCAUCCUCCGUCUCAACGAUUCUAUGUCACCAUGGAUGUCACAUUUAGUGAAGACCUGUGCUAUUUUUCUCCUACGGUAUCUCCGAGUGAGGAGGAGAAGCAUGUUUUUUAUGAAGAUCAAUUUGGAAAACUAGAAGAUUGUGUAAUUGUUGACAGUAACCUAACUGAAAAGGAUCUUCGGCCUGUCACCGACCAAAUCCAGAAUCCGAGAGAUAAUACUCUAGAACCUCAAAAAGUGGUUCAAUCUAUUGAACCUGCCCAAGUUGAGGCGUCUGUUCCCUGUUCUAAAAGUGUUCGACAUGACGAACAACUGUCUGACACGUCGAAAGGAGGAGAAUUGAAUAGUAAUCAGCCACCAGUUGUUGAAGAUGUAAAUGCAAGUUCAGUCUCUCCCCCUACAUCAACGAUCUCUCCUGGCUUGUCAUCACCUGAGGUAUGUAGUACUAUUCCAUUGUCAUCCUCCAAUGUCCUUGAAUCUAAUAGAGUCUUGCCUGCUAGGUCAACCCGUGGUCAACCUCCUAAAAAAUAUAAGCCUCUCUUGUCAGCUAAAGCUAAGUAUAGCCAACUACGUGUCAACUCAUAGAUUGUCUAAACCUUAUGUAGCCUUUGUGAAUCAAUUAUCUGUUGUGUCUCUUCCUAGUAAAGUCCAGGAUGCAAUCAAGGAGGAGAAGUGGGCCAAAGCAAUGGAGGUUGAGAUGGAUGCUCUCAAGAAGAAUGGUACUUGGGAUUUGGUGUCGUUACCACCUGGAAAGAAGAUCAUUGGUUGUAGAUGGGUUUAUACUGUGAAGCAUAAUGCAGAUGACUCAGUUGACAGAUAUAAGGCAAGGUUGGUUGUAAAAUGAUACACUAAAAAAUAUGGGGUGGAUUAUGAUGAGACGUUCGCACCUGUGGCAAAGAUCAAUACCAUUCGAGUCCUCAUGUCUUUGGCAGCUAAUCUGGAUUGGCCCCUGGAGCAGUUUGAUGUGAAGAAUGCAUUUCUUCAUGGAGAUUUGAAUGAAGAAAUUUACAUGGAUCUUCCUCUAAGAUAUAAUACUUUUACGGGCGAGAAGGUGGUGUGCAGAUUGAAAAAGUCCCUGUGCAGAUUGAAGCAAUCUCCAAGAGCUUGGUUUGGAAGGUUCACGUCUUUCAUGAAGAAGAUUGGGUAUAGGCAGAGUAACUCAGAUCAUACUUUGUUCCUGAAACACCGACAGGGUAAGCUUACUGCCUUGAUCAUUUAUGUGGAUGACAUGGUAGUGACAUGUGAUGACACUGGUGAAAUUAGAAGAUUGAAAGAUCAGUUGUCUUCUGAAUUCAAGAUGAAGGACCUUGGGAAUUUAAAGUAUUUCUUAGGAAUUGAGGUAGCCAGGAACAAGGACUGUAUCAUGCUGAGUUAAACAAAAUAUGUUCUGGAUUUGAUGGCAGAGACUGGUAUGCUUGAUUGUAAACCAGUUGAUACACCGAUAGAACAGAACCAUCGAAUUGCAGAGUAUCCUGAUCAAGUUUCAACUGACAAAUUCGAUAUCAAAGGUUAGUUGGAAGAUUAAUUUACUUGUCGCAUACUAGACCUGAGCUUGCUUAUGCGGUUAGUGUGGUGAGUCAGUAUAUGCACAAUCGUAGUGAAUAUCACAUGAAUGAUGUGAUGAGAAUCUUGAGAUACUUAAAGUCUGCUCCUGGAAAAGGCCUGGUGUUUCGUAAGCAUGGACAUUUGAGGACUAGUGGUUACACUAAUGUGGACUGGGCAGGGAACAUCAUUGACAAGCGUUCUACUUCUGACUAUUUUACGUUUGUUGGUGGAAACUUAGUCAUUUGGAGAAGCAAGAAACAGAAUGUGGUGGCCCGUUCUAGUGCAGAAGCUGAGUACAGAGGUAUGGCUCAAGGAGUCUGUGAGUUAUUAUGGUUGGGAAGUUUAUUAAAGAGUUUGGGUUUCAAGCAGGAAUGGUCAAUGCCUCUUCACUGUGACAAUACUACUGCGGUUGAAAUUGCACAUAAUCUUGUUCAGCAUGAUCGAACAAAGCAUGUAGAGAUUGACAGGCACUUCAUCAAGGAAAAGCUAGAUGCACGCAUAAUCUCGUUCCCAUUUGUUCCUUCGAGGGAGCAGCUAGAUGACAUCCUUACCAAAGUUGUGUCGUCCAGGGUGUUCAGUGACUCACUUGAAAGUUGGGCAUUCAAGAUUUGUAUGCGCCAACUUGAGAAGGAGUGUUAACGUGAGUCUCAAUCUUAGUAUAUUGGGAAGAUGUAUAUUCUGUAAUCUAGGAUUAUAUAAAUCUUUCAGUAUAAUUAGUUUCCUUCUAGGGUUAGAACUGUGCUUGUAUAUAUACCCGACUUGGGGUUUGUUCAAUACAUCAGAAAAUUCUCAACAUUUUGUGUUCUGUUUGACUAGUCGCUGCCUCAAAGAUAGGCAUAUAAGAACUAUAAGCAUCACGAUGCAACGUCUGUAAGGUUUGGCCAGUAUCAUCAUAAAUAAAUUUCUGCUCCAGGAACUUUGGAGCAUAAUAACUACAAGCCAACAGAUCAACUUCUUUGUCUUUGAACUUACAUCCGCCAAAGAUGAAUAAGCCAUCGUUGUAGAUAGCAUGGUGAGAUGUCUGUGAAGUACCAUCAUCAUGAAACUCCUUUCCUGAAAAGGUUAGAGUCUGAACGUUGCAAACCAAAGUUAACUGGCACUGAUUGUUAGGGUUUUAUCCCUAACUGAGAGAAAAGGAAAACAAAUUGAAAUAAAGAAGAAAGGAAAUAAAAUCAGAUUUUCAUUGAUGGCCUCUCAAAGGCAAUGGUUACAGUACUUAAAGGAAAAUAGAGAGCAAAUACAGCUAGCAGUGGUCCAUAACAGAUGAGGGUGUCCUUAGUAAAGUUAAGGGUGUGUGCUAACUAAAUGAUUCAUAACAUUUCUUCCCCCUUCAACAGAAACUUGUCCUCAAGUUUCACUUAUAGAAUCAUAGUCCAACAGAAACUUCUCAAGUUCAAAUUCAAGAGACAUUGCAAGCACAACAACAAUAGCUCCAUACUGAACAAUGAGCAUAAGGAGGAGACACACCUUCCACUCUGCCAUAAUAAGAACAACAUGAUAACCCUUCCAGCCCAUCAAUCCAGCAUAUGUGAAGUACCACUCUUGAAAUUUGAAGCUCAAACAAAUACCUGCUACCUUAACAUCAAAUGUUAUCAAGAAUGCUUGUUCACCCAAAGUAGGAAGUAGGUUAGUAGCGAGAUAACUGUAAUAAUCACCAGUAGCCAACAUACAACUCCUUCCCUGUUUCAUAAAGUAAUGAACCAAUAUUGGCAACCUUGUCUUACUGUUGAGUUCUGAAUACCAAGCAUCAUUUUUUGACCCAUAAUUAGUUGAACCAAUGACAUGAGCAGAUAGUUGAUUCAUAAGUAAUGCCUUCACAAGAGCAUAAUCAUCAUCACUGCCAAUAAACUGAUGUAACCCAGAAGUUUUGAAUGUCAUUGCCAACAACACUACAAGUCCAUGCAGACAUACGACUAACAAGCUAAACCAUUUGCAGCAGUCCAGGUUUGACCUCAGAAGUACUUUCCAAUUAUCAAAUCUACCAAUUAUAACAUCACGAAAGUCCACUUUCCAACACAGAGUAGCCGAAAAGCCAAGAAAAGUGUAUACGUACCAAGGUGUGGUCGGAUAAUCAGGGUCUUCAAAUGGCCAGUAUCCAAUGGUCUUGUGGCAGUAGUACAACACCAUGAUCAAAACCUGAUCACCUAACAUGAAACUGUCUGAGGCUUCACAUAUAGGAGCAAUUGAUUGCUUGACAAUUCUUGAGGAGCUGUAUCAUAAUCCAUCACAUAAGUAAUGUUUUAUAUUUGAAAGCUCUAUGUGUAUCCCCUGUAGAAACACAUUUGCUUGUCUCCAAGUUGCUCAGUGUAUGUACAACAAGCUCUGAGAGGUGAACCAAAGAAUGCCUCUGAGUAAGUCCUUGAAGAUUAUGAGAGUUGGGAUUGUGAGGGAGCUUACUGUGCAUGAAGGCCCAUGUAAGGUACUCACCAACAUCUUGCUUGUGCCCUGUCAUCAUAUUCAAGUCUUUGUAUGUAUCAGCAGCUUCAUGUGACAAAUGUAAUUGAGUAAAUGCAAUUGCAAUGACAGCCGCAAGAUCUACUAGAUCAAUAUGAUACUCAUGUUGCAACAACUCCAAACUUGUCGAUGCUUCUCCCAUAACAAACACAAUAAGGUAAGGUAAGAGUAAUGGAGGAUGCCUAUCUCCCUUCACAAGAGCAUAGAGGAAUGCAUCAACCAUGUUGUCAACAAAUAUAAGCCCCUUCUCUCCAUCAACUAAACUGUUCCUCUUCACCUUAUGCCACUGUAAUAAAACAUGAAGGGAUUUGUCCUCAGAAACAUACUCUCUAAUUAAUGCCAAAUCCAUGUCCAUCUUAAGCUCUGAGUUACUAAUCUGCAUAAGCAUUUGAGUUGCUUCAGCUAUUUUAUGCUCAUUGCUACAAGCCUUCAAUAUUGGCACAUGCACAUAAGACCCCAAAAUAAUUCCCUAAGCAUUCUUUUUGUAGAAAUUGAAUUUCAUGGAUAGAAAAGUUUUACACUCGCUGGAUAUAUACAGAUCCUAUAGCUAGUAUUUUAGGAAUAAUUACAACUAAGGUAAGCAAUGAAUACAGAUCACAAUUAGUGAUUCUACAGAGAAAUUAGGAAGGUAAUAGGUGAUUGAAAUCACGCUUGAUUUGGGGAGAAUCCAUAUCAGCUUUAAUACCCCCCCGCAAACUAGGCGGCCUUGGGCUGACAAGUUUGAGACACAAGGCAGAAUGGCGAGAUUUGUGGAGAGGCUUGGUGAGUAGGUCAGCUGGCUGGUCAACAGACGGAAUGUAACAAACACGGUGACUACCAAGAACAACUUUUUCACGAACAAAAUGGUAGUCAAGUUCGAUGUGCUUAGUGUGGGCAUGGAAAACCGGGUUAGAGGCCAAAUAGGUUGCACUGAGAUUAUCACAGUGAAGCUUAAUAGGAAGGGCUAAGUGCACGCCAAGUUCAUACAGUAAAUGGCCUAACCAGGUGGUUUCAGCAGAGGCAUGAGCGAGAGAGCGGUACUCUGCUUCAGCACUAGAACGUGCUACUGUCGGUUGCUUCUUAGAACACCAUGAGAUGAGAUUGGAACCAAGAUACACCAAAUAACCAGUGGUAGAGCGGCGUGAAUCCGGACAGCCGGCCCAAUCGGCAUCUGAGUAAGCCGAUAGUGUAAUUGGGUGAUGUUGAGGGCGAAAUGAAAGACCAUGGUCCAAGGUACCCUUGACAUAACGGAAAAUACGUUUGGCAGCAACAAGGUGAGUGGUCCGAGGUUGACUCAUAAAUUGAGCAACUGAGUUGACUGCGAAAGAGAUGUCCGGUCGUGUAAUAGUAAGGUACUGGAGGGAACCAACCAUUUCACGAAAUAGUGUCGGAUUNNNNNNNNNNNNNNNNNNNNCGGAUUGUCAAGGAGCUCGCCAUCAGUAGCCAUCAGAGGAGGUUUUGCAGCCAAAGGUGUGGUCAUCGGUUGACUGAGGAGAAGAUCAUACUUGUGAAGGAUGUCAUGAGCAUAUUUGAGUUGGUCAAUGUGAAGACCAUGAGAAGAGGAAGUCACCUGCAAGCCAAGAAAAUAAUGGAGAGGACCAAGGUCUUUUAUAUCAAAGCCACGGCUGAGAGCAUGAAUGAAACUCUCAACAACACGGUCAUUGCUACCGGUGACGACUAUGUCAUCAACAUAAAGGAGCAGGUAUAUGGUGUGUGGCCCGUAGUGAAAUAUGAAGAGAGAGUGAUCGGCCUUACUUUGAAUAAAUCCAGCAGAUAAAAGGAAGGCACUGAUGCGAUUGAACCAGGCUCGUGGAGCUUGCUUGAGGCCGUAGAGAGAUCGGUGAAGUUUGCAGACAUAAGAAGGAUGGUCAGGGUCAACAAACCCAGGAGGCUGGGUCAUAUAGACAUCUUCAUUGAGAAAUCCCUGGAGGAAGGCAUUCUUGACAUCUAGUUGACGAAGAGUCCAGCCUUUAGACACAGCAAUGGCAAGAACUGUGCGAAUGGUCGCAGGCUUAAUGACCGGGCUGAAGGUUUCUUGAUAAUCAAUUCCAUGUCUCUGAUGGAAACCUAUGGCAACCAGUCGAGCUUUAUAACGAUCAAUCGAGCCAUCUGGAAGAUGUUUAAUCCGGAAAACCCACUUGCAUCCAACAGUGUUUUGUGUAGGAUGAGGUGGAACAAGCGUCCAGGUUUGAUUCUUCAAUAAGGCAUUGAUUUCUUCAGCCAUGGCAUCACGCCAUUCCUUGGAUUUGGAGGCCUAAGAGUAACACGUUGGUUCGGCAUCAGUAAUAACAGUGAGGAGAGCACGAGGAACCGGAUACCUGAUAGUGCCAUCAGAUCGAAGUUUGGGCUUGGAGUGGCCCGUACGUGAUCUGGUUUGCACUGUGGAGGGCGCGGCUACAGUUGAGGAGGGCGGAGCGGCAGCGGGUGGCUCCGGCAAGGCUGAGGACGUGGGAGGCGCAAUGGAGGAAGAGAUAUCCUCUAAGGGGGAGGAUGCAGCUUCUAGGUGAGGAGAAGGAAUAUGUGGCGGUGGUGGCUGGGCUCGGCGGCGAUAGGUGUGAUGGAUGAUGGGCGGAGGAGGAGGAGGAAGGGGCGGGGGAAUCUGGCGAGCACGGCGGUGAUAGGUGGCAAGUGAGGGUGCGGCGUUGGCGGAGGUAGAGGCAGGGAGAGAAGGCGAAGUGGUGGCCGGGAUGGGAGAGGGAGAAGGCGGAUCAGAUUGAUUUUCAGGAAUUGUGGAAUUUGGAGUGAUUGGCUGUGUUUAGGUGAGAAGGAGAGACGUAUGGGAAGGACUGGAAUCAUUGUUUGGAUCGGAUUGGGAGUGUGAAGAGGGAGUGUUGGGCGGAUGAAAGAGUGGAGUGGGCCUGGGAGGGUGGGCCGAGGAAGAAGAUGUGAGAUGCACAAAUGCAAGUGGACCAAUAGAAUGUACCUGCAAAGUUUUAAACGGAAAACUUGUUUCGUUAAAAAUAACAUUACGAGAUAUAUAUACUCGACCAGAGGAAGGAUGGAGACACUUGUAGCCUUUAUGAUGAGGGCUAUAACCGAUGAAGACACACUCAAGGCUACGAUUUGACAAUUUGUUUGACACAUAAUCACCUAGGUAAGGAAAACAUGAACAGCCGAAAACACGAAGAGAGAAAUAGGAAGGAGGACGUUGAUAAAGACGAAAAUAAGGGGUGUCCCAGUCCAGUGUGGACGUAGGAAGAAGACUAAUAAGAAAUACAGCAGUGAGGGCGGCUUCCACCCAAAGAUACUGUGGAGAAUUUGAAGUAGUGAGAAGGGUCACUACCAGGACAAGCACUUUAGCCGACGAAAAUUUUUCGUCGGCCUGUCAGCUUAAUUCGUCGGCUAAGAUCUUAGCCGACGACCUUUCGUCGGCUAAGAUUUCGUCGGGAAAAGCUCGUCUGUGGUGACUUUAGCCGACGACCUUUCGUCGGCUAAGAUUUCGUCGGGAAAAGUCGUCGGCUAAAGUCUGGACUAUAGCCGACGACAUUAUUUCGUCGGCUAAAGUAUGGACUAUAGCCGACGACUUUUUUUGUCGUCGGUUAUCUGCCAAAAUUUAGCCGACGAAUAUUUUAAAAUAUUCGUCGGCUAAAGUUUGUAAUAAAAAAAAUAAAAAAGAUCUAUGGCCGACGAAAUAUAGUAUAUUUCGUCGGCUUUAUAGGUAUUUAGCCGACGAAUUAGAGCAUAUUUCGUCGGCUAAAAGUUAUUUUAAAAAAAAUAAAAAACUUUAGCCGACGAAUUAAAGCUUUUUUCGUCGGCUAUAAGUCUUUUCCAGUAAAAAAAAAAACCCCGAAAUUUCUGAAUUAGCAUUCNNNNNNNNNNNNNNNNNNNNUGGUAGCUAGAGCAUGAGGAACUUUGGAAGGAGUGCCGGAAACAGGAAGAGGAUAAAGGCCAUCUUUACAAGGGCCCUGAAACAAUAAACGACCUGAGCGUAAGCAAUAUAUCCGAUAAAGAUUAGGAGCAAAAAGAAAGAACACAAGGUUAUCUUUAGUAAACUGGGCUACAGACAAAAGAUUUUUACGAAUGGACAGAAUUUGAAAGACAUUAUUGAGAGAAAAGUGAGAAGGCCCCAAAGAUAGGGGUAGAGUACCCGUAUGAGAGACAUGCAUAGAAUCACCGUUACCCAUAUAGACAUUGUGAGGACCUCCAUAAUUUUGUGGAUUGUGAACCGGCAUAAAGGUCAUGUGGUGAGUAGCACCAGUAUCAGGGUACCAGAAAGGAUCAUCAGGUUGGGCAAAAUGUGCGCCAGCAAAUGGUCGAAUUGUGUUAGGACCAGCAAACCGAUGUGGGCAUUGGGAAGGCCCAUGAAAGGAGAACAUACAAGUUGGACACCACUGAUGUCCAGGAGGUGGGCCAAGGAUGCCUGGUUGAGAAGGACGCCGCAUUUGCUGGUGUUGGGUCUAUGGAUUGGGCUGGGAAAAACCCAUAUAAGGCUGAUAAGAAGGAAAAGACUGUUGUUGCUGUUGUUGAUACGGCUGAGUGUGGAAGCCUCCAGAUCGGGAAGACUGCCCAUAUGACCGGCGCUGCUUGCCGGACUGGCGUUCACCGCGGCCGGCCCCAGCAGACGGACGGCAACCGGAACGGUAAGAGGAGGCGGCCGAAUUGGUGGAGGAGCCAACGUUGUGAAAUAGAGCAGUGGUGUUGGGCACGACAGGAGAUGAGGUUUGUUGAGCAUCAAACGCUAGAAUUCUGGCGCGGAGAUCAGAGAAGGUGGGGAGAGUACUCUGGGACAAGGCAGUACGAAGCAUCAAAUAAUCAGAACCAAGACCAUGAAGAGUAGCAAUUACCAGAUCGGCAUCAGAAACAGGCUGAUCAAUGGAGGCAAGGGCAUCGGCGAUGGACUUGGCAUGUUGCAGGUAGGCAUCAACGGAUUGAUUCCCUUUCUGAAGUUCAUACAAUUGAAGCUUCAAGUUUGUGGCACUAGCAGCAGAUUUUUGAUUGAAGAAAUUGGCAAGGCAAUCCCAAAUCGCUUUGGAUGUGGAGCAGCCAAGGCAAAUCCGAGCAACAGGUUCGGUGAGAGAGGUGGUGAGGAUGCUAACGAUCUUUUGAUCCUCAAUGAACCAGGCUUUGUGCGCCGGGUUUGGGUUGGUGGAAGCCGGAGUAUUGCCACUGGCCGGGACAUCAAUUGUGGGAGAUGGUUCUGCAAUGGAGCCAUCGAUGUAGCCCCAUAGGUCAGCACCAUUCAGGUAUGAUUGAACUGGAACAACCCAAACCAAAUAGUUCGUUUCUGUGAGUUUGGGGAAAGAGGAAGUGUUUUGGGAGAUGGAGGUGGAGGAGGAAGCCAUCAGACAGAAAAGAUGAAGGAAGGGAAAGAAGGAAGGAAGGAAGAGAGGAAGACACAGGUAUGGAUCUUAAGACUAAGCUGAUACCAUGUAGAAAUUGAAUUUCAUGGAUAGAAAAGUUUUACACUCGCUGGAUAUAUACAGAUCCUAUAGCUAGUAUUUUAGGAAUAAUUACAACUAAGGUAAGCAAUGAAUACAGAUCACAAUUAGUGAUUCUACAGAGAAAUUAGGAAGGUAAUAGGUGAUUGAAAUCACGCUUGAUUUGAGGAGAAUCCAUAUCAGCUUUAAUACUUUUCAUCAAAAGUAACAUGUGCUUCAUCUGAUAAUGUCGUACCAAUGCAAGCAUUAAUAAUGCCAUAACAACCGAAUAUAUCAACCAUAAUUGUAGGAGACUCUAGCUUCCAAGCUUCAAUAAUCAAAGUUUCCAACACAGUUGCAUUUCUGUUGUCAAGAAAUCCAACUCGAGAAUACGUUUUUCCAUCCAAAUUCCAACAUUCACCAUCUUCAGGUGGCCUGGUGCAUCCCAACAUAAAAAUAUGGCCCAUAAAAAUAUCAUCAAGCUCACUAACAGGUUUGGUUGCUACAUUUGAAUGAAGGUCUUUAGACUCCAAAGAAGACUUGCACUCCAACUUGCUAGUAACUAAGCCACUGAUUCCCUUGUCUGGCAAUUCAAAGAAGGCCUUUUUACUGACAUGAGAAGCAUCAAAAAUUCCAGGAUGAGUAGCAGGUCUCUGAGUGGUUUGCAAUUUCCCUUCGUUAGCAGACUCCAUAUUAAACCUCAAUACCAUACCAGUAAAAGCUUCACUAGUAUACCCUAAAAUCACAUCACCAUCAACAAUAGUUGAAAAUCUUUUUUCAACAUGUACGUUCUGACACCCGCAAGCCUUAUUAGAUGACCCACUCUCUUCAGUUGUAUCAACCAAGUCUGGUUCUGAAAUGUUCUCUUGAUGAGAAUGAAUGAUAAGCGACUCGUUUCUAGACUUAUCAGAAACAUGACCAUUAACAACUUCAGUUUCUAAGUGCUUCUGGACGUCGACUUUGUGUGCCAAGAAUUGGCCAUUCUCAUUCACGUGGCUUUCACCAACUACAAUCUCAUCAAUAGGAACCUUUUUCUUAUGGGUGAGCACAUCAUUUCUUUUAAUCAGACAAGUGCUAAGUUCUAUCUUCAGCAUAGCAUGACCAUCAUCAGCUUGAUCAUUUUUUCCCACAGAUUUGUUAACAUUUUUAUCCUCUUCUUCAGAAUUGAUCUCAUAUGCUUCAAGUUGGUGAGCACGUUCCCCACCUUUGUCUCUAAUAGUCGUAAGAGCAGAACUGGUCCUUCCUGCAUUACACAAGCCAGUCGACUUUGGCAUUUUAUCAAACAGGUGGAGAGCAUGAUAUUCUCUACUCUUCACACACAACUUUGGUUGUAAAUAGGUACCCUUAACAGAUGCCACAGUGGGUGAUGAUGUACCAACAGGUGUGUGCACUGCAGUGGUAGCUGUAACAAGCUCAGGUGUUGUCAUUGGCGGCAGAGAGCCCAACUUCAAUGGAUUAUCAACUUGGCUUGGCAGUGACAGUAGUGUCCCACUCCCCUUGAGCUUGACCAUAGUCUCUGGUUGUUCCACAUAUGAGCUAUGGAGUCUCAGACCGGUCUUCACAUCUUGUGUGAUUGCACCGAGCAGGCGCUGAAAUUUGGGCUUGCGCAUCAAGAGCUUAUUGCGCUUCUGGGAGUCACCGGUCUCGCGAGGCAGGAUAGUUCCUAGCCUAACUUGGCUGGGCUUCUUCACUCCUCCAGUGGUCGCAGUCGACUCGAGAGCGACUUGCUUGCAACGAGCCCUCCACAGAUGAGAGUGAACCACCAAAGGUUCAUGUGAACUGUUUAGGAAAAUUGGAGGAUGAAUCCGGAGGUUAGGAUGAGGUGUGUAGUAAGAAGGGAUUUGAGGAGUUGUGGUGAGUGGUUGUGGAGCAAUAGGAUGAGUGGGUGGUGAGUGAGGGGAAGGGUAGUAUUGUGCCUGAGUUUGAGAAGCACAAGGGAAUUGGAGAGGAAGCAAGUGCCCAUUAAUUAGGGUUGCAGAAUGGUUGUGCUGCGGUGGUGGGUAAGAUUGUGGUUGUGUGAAAUGCUGCAGUGGUGGUGCAUAAUAGUUGUGCUGCGGUGGUGAGUAAGGGUUAGGCGGUGGUGGUGGUGGGUGAUAGCUCAGCGGUGGCGGGUGAUAGUCCGACGAGAAAAAUGGUAGAUCCCACUGUUGCGGAGGCGACGAGAACUGCACUGAGUGGUAUGGGUACUGGUUUGAAUACCACGACGGCGGUUCAACACCGUAAGGCAGAGAUGCCGGUUGCCCAGCUCCCAGAUUCAUGGCUCUGGAUACCAAUUGUUAGGGUUUUAUCCCUAACUGAGAGAAAAGGAAAACAAAUUGAAAUAAAGAAGAAAGGAAAUAAACUUAGAUUUUCAUUGAUGGCCUCUCAAAGGCAAUGGUUACAGUACUUAAAGGAAAAUAGAGAGCAAAUACAGCUAGCAGUGGUCCAUAACAGAUGAGGGUGUCCUUAGUAAAGUUAAGGGUGUGUGCUAACUAAAUGACUCAUAACACUGAUGAUACUCAAAUGAAUCAAAUCGUCCAUCAUAACAUAUAACUUGGCCAUUAGUGUAGCUCUGAAUAUGUUUUUCAAUAAAACCACAAUUUGGUUUUAAAUACUUCGAAUAAAACCUCACGUUAGGUUUAUCAAUAAAGCCACGAAUUGGCUUGCAUGAACUAAGUCUCAAAGUAUAAUCAUAUUGGUCAUGAUUUUGACCACUCUUAUGAGAACGUACAGUAGUAUGAAGGAGAGAACUUAGUUGAAAUUGAUUAAUAAAGCCACAAAUUGGCUUAGUUAAAACAAAACUCAAUUGACAAUUACGGUUGCCAUAGUUUUGACUUCCCUCUUGGCAACGUCCAGUAGCUUCAAUUUGAUAAUUACAUCGACCCAAGCUUUGAUCAUUAACAGGAUAACCACAAAGUUGGUUAUUGAAUUGCUUAUGGCGGUCGAGAUCGAUAGAAAGGCCUUUGUGUAGCCCCCCAUGCGUCUGACCGGUAUCAACAUACACAUCGUCAUCCAUGAGCGGAACGACUUCCUUCUUGGAGCAACUUUGUUGGAUAUUAUCUUCAUAAUCGUGCUCGGUUUGGGGUUCGCCAUAAGUUGGCAAACAUGUUUCUUCCUCCUGGUCAGAACCAUCAACCUUUGAAAUAGGAUAUGUAUCAAUAAUCUCUCCGGUAUUAAGCUCAGGCUCUUGAGAAGUUUCGGCCAUUACUUCUGGCAAUUUAUAUUUGGCCGAUAUUUUGUAGGGGAUAGGGCUGUCAUUGUUAAUCAACUCCACAUGACUACAGUAGUAGUAAUCAAGCUGAUCAUCAUCUUCGUAAUCAUGCUCUGCAUAAGAUUCACCACUAUCUGGUAAACUAAUUCUCUAUGUUGACGCGGAUUCGUCUAGAGAGGAGUAUUCGCCACUAGAUUGCUCAAAAAAUGAUUCAACCUCCUGUUGGCUCAAAAAUCGUCCCGACCACAUUUCAAUGGGCUGGGGGCUUCUUUGGGCUACACGUGUCCUUCUGGCUUGGUGACGUGUGAGAUGGCGUGCCAACUCGCGGCCGAGAGGCCAAGCGAGGUUUUGUUCUGAUAUGUAGAUGCGUUGCCCUGACUUCUAAUAAGUCGACUGUAGACCGAGGAAGGAUCGAUCUCGGCCAUAGGGUUCUCUCUGCCUUGGAUGCAACGACUUUAACACAGAUCGGUUUACCAACCGAUAUCUUGGUACUGUGUGACUAGGUAAAUGUUGUGAUGGUGCAAGUGAUGUGAAUGCAGAAAUGUAAAGUGCAACAAAUAAAGUGUAAAAAUCUUAAAGAAAUGGUAAAGAACACGAAUGUAAAUUGCAGGAAAGAUAAAUUGCUCGAACAGUAAGAUAAAUUGCAAUUAUGUAAAGAACGAUAAAGUAAACUGCAAAAAAAAGAAGAACAAGAACCGGUAAAGUUAAGCGAUAAGAUAAACACGGAAGAAUUGAUAUGUGUAAUGCUGAGAAGCUGAAUUGUAUUGAGAUAAUAAUGUGUAAUCGCGUAGAGCGUUUGGUCGAGGACCCUUAACAAAAUAUCCUAAGGUCCUUUUUAUAGUGAAGUAAAAUAAAGAAGACGUAAUCCCAGCUUUGAACACAAGGAUGGAUUACAGUAAAUCAUGGAUUAAAUUGUAAUAAAGCUCAUUCAAUCUGAUUGUCACAAGUUUGGUAACUGUAGUGACGUCUCCCUAGAAAGCGCCAUCUUUGAGAUUGAAAUUGUAGUAACGUCAUUCUCGCAAUAAAACUCAUUCAACCUGAUUGCAACCAUUUUGGUAACUGUGAUGACGUCUCUCUUGAAGGCCCCAUCUUUGACCGUAAUUUAGCUUGUAAAUAUCAAUCAGUCGACCUCGUAUGGGUUUGACAGGAUAUAACAUUUAUUCUCCUUUCUUGGCCACUGCAACUCACGAAUAGCCGCAGCUAAAUAAGGUGUCUGCGGCUCAACAACCAUGUUCGCAGCUCAACAUAAGGUGACUGCGGCUCAACAUAAGGCGUCUGCGGCUCAACAUAAGAUGUCCGCGGCUCAACAUAGGGUGACCGCGGCUCAACAUAAGGCAUCUGCGACUCUACAUAAAAUAUCUGCGGCUCAACAUAGGGUGACCGUGGCUCAACAUAAAGCGUUUGCGGCUCAACAUAGGGUGUUUGUGGCUCAACAUAGGGUCAUCAUCUCUGUUGAUAACCACGGUUAUUUAAUAAGCUGCGUUGUGCAUUACGGGCUCAACAGGAUGAGUCACGAUAUUUACUUCUUAAUGGCCGCGGUCACUAAUAGACCCGUCCAUUUAGUCUGCCACGUAGGUCGUGCCAAAUAUUGGUUCAAACAGAGCCCCCCCCAGUUCCUUAUGCUUCGGCAAAGACGUCGAAUGGUUAAGGAAUUAGAAGAAUGUCUAUAGAAAAAUUAUUUGGCACAUAACACACCCCUUAUUUUUGCCGAGUUGAGUAGAACUCAUGAGUCAUAGUACUCAACACAAAUAUUGGUGGCCACACGGUUAUUAAAUCGUGGCUGCAAAUGAAUCGUUAAAGCAAGACUUCCAUUUAACCAUCCCUGAUAACAUCAUGGCUGCCAUUUGAGUGGUGAAGGUCUUGCUCUCACGUGAGGGGCAUCACCACCAUAGUCCUACAUUAGCUUGGAAUCAAACUGAAUUUAAAUAUUUAGAACAUAGACUCCUUUUCCUUUCUUGGCCAUUGUAACCCGUGAAUAGCCGCAGCUCAAUAAUAGCCGCGAUCAAUCUUCAUAGCCGCGGUCAUCUGUUACCGUAACUCUUAAAUAGCCGCGCCUCAAUAAUAGUCAUGAUCAAUCAUCAGUAAAACCGCGUUGUUACGCUGCGGCUCAAGAGGAUGAGUCACGAUGCUCAUUUUUUCAUGGUCGCGGUCAUUGGUGGACCGCGGACAUCACCGUCACUUAGUCUGCGAUGUGGGUGUUGCCAAAUAUUGGUUCAAACAGAGCCCCCCAAUCCCUUAUGCUUCGGCAAAGACACCGAAUGGUUAAGGAACUGGAAGAUUGUCUAUAAAAAAAAAAUUGUUUGGCAACACGCGCCCUUUAAUGCGCUUUGACACGGUAGUCAUUUAUUAAUAACCGCGGUAUUCGUAUAGCCGCGGUCACUUGCCUUGCCGUGCCUGUUCUGUUGCGGCUCAAAGUAAUAGCUGCCAUCCGCUAGUUGCGGCCAACCAAAGUAGCAUGGCAACAAAACUCUUUGAUCAUAGUCCUUCACUAGCGGCGAUCAUUCAAUAGGCGCGGCCAAUUACACUCUUAAUGGCCGCGAUGUCGGCCUUUACUCGAUGUUUGUGAUGACAUAGAAACAAAGAAACCUAAAACAAAACAAGAGAAACUAGAGAAAUUUAUUGGUUGUCUUUGGCAAUCACAACUUCAAGGAGGUGGCCAACGAUGUUUCACCCCAAGUUUUGAAUAUUUUGUAUUCUCCGCAUGAAUUUUGAAUUUUUCUAGGCCAAUCGUUAUCGACCCAAGAAGGUGAUUGUGACUCGAUCUCUUUGCGGCUUUCAUGUGAGCCGAAUUAUCAUGACCUCCAUAUGUACUCUUUUGAACAACUAUGGCCAGUACUUGCAUUUUAGCUGAUACCGGCUUUUUCAGGUCAACUUUCUCUCCAACAAUCAUGUCAACAUGCGUGAUCUUGUCAUAAGCACACUUCACCAUGUGAUGAUCAUUCUCAUGAACAUUUUGUAAAUUUUGUCCUUUAUGUAUUCCUCCACUGCUGGAGAAAGAACACUAAGUGGCCAAUUUCUUGCUUGAUUGUCAACGACUACGUCCUUUUGGAGAUGAUUGCUAGGAUUCAGAUAGUGUUGCACAUCAAGAAUUUGAUCUGUUUCAAAAAGGUGAUCAAGAUAAUUUUGAUGCCUUUGCCAAUCUUCCAUCAUCUUCUGACGUGACUGUAUUCGCGCUUUAAGAGUUUGGAAUUGCGAGGCUACCCUUGCUAGCUCUUCUCGAACCGCUCUGCUUAUAUCCUUGCAUUCUUCAUAAAACAUUGUUGAGCCAAUCCCAAUGUUUCCUUGUCUUUCAGACAAUAGAUUAUGAUAAUUAAUCUUGUUGAUCACCUGACGAUUUUGGCGGUCCUUGCAGAAAAUUCCAAGCAUUUUGGUCACUCAAAUCAUCAUGACAAUGUUGUUGGUCAUCUAAUGAUUUUGGCGGUCCUUGCAUGAAAUUCCAUGCACUUUGGGCAUUCAAGUCACCAUGGCAAUGUUGUUGGUCAUCUAACGAUUGUGGGGGUCCUUGCAGAAAAUUCCAUGCAUUUUGGCUGCUCAAGUCACCAUGACUAUUGCACGAUUCAUUAACCGUUUGGCGGUAAUGAUUAUACAACUUGUUAGCUUCUUGCCCAUAACAAUAUUGGCCAACAGAAUAAUUUUGGUAGCCGUAUUGGCUGCCAUAACUAUUUUGGAGAUCAUAGCCAUUUUGUUGGUCCCAUGAAGCAUGCAUGACUAUUCAAAUCUACAAAACUUUCAUACAUGGAAUAGCUAUAUCGGCCACCAUAACCAUACAAUUGAUCUUGGCCAUAUUGGCCAUUGUAAUAAUUAAUUGAAACAGAGUCGUGUAUGUUUGGCGUAUAAUAACUCAUUAGUGAAAAUACAACACACGAAAUAUCUCAUAAUAUAUUCUGAUAACAUUCAUCAAGUGUGGUCCCACUGGGCGUGCCAAAAGAUGUUGGCUCAAAAAUCGUCCCAGCCACGUGUCAAUGGGCCAAGGGCCUCUUUGGGCUACACGUGUCCUUCUGGCUUGGUGACGUGUGCGAUGGCGUGCUAACUCACGGCCGAGAGGCCAACCGAGGUUUUGUUCUGAUAUGUAGAUGCGCUGCCCUGACUUCUAAUCAGUCAACAGUAGACCGAGGAAGGAUCGAUCUCGGCCGCAGGGUUCUCUCUGCCAUGGAUGCAAGGACUUUAACACGGAUCAGCUUACCAACCGAUCUUGGUGCUAUGUGACUAGGUGAAUGUUGUGAUGGUGCAAGUGAUGUGAAUGCAGGAAUGUAAAGUGCAACAAAUAAAGUGUAAAAAUCUUAAAGAAAAGGUAAAGAACACGAAUGUAAAUUACAAGAAAGAUAAAUUGCUCGAACAGUAAGAUAAAUUGCAAGUAUGUAAAGAACGAUAAAGUAAACUGCAGAAAAAGAAGAACAAGUACUGGUAAAGUUAAGCGAUAAGAUAAACACGGAAGAAUUGAUAUGUGUAAUGCUGAGAAGCUGAAUUGUAUUGAGAUAAAAAUGUGUAAUCGCGUAGAGCGUUUGGUCGAGGACCCUUAACAAAGAAUCCUAAGGUCCUUUUUAUAGUGAAGUAAAAUAAAGAAGAUGUAAUCCCAGCUUUGAACACAUGGAUGGAUUACAGGUAAAUCAUGGAUUAAAUUGUAAUAAAGCUCAUUCAAUCUGAUUGCCACAAGUUUGGUAACUGUAGUGAUGUCUCCCUUGAAAGCGCCAUCUUUGAGAUUGAAAUUGUAGUGACAUCAUUCUCGCAAUAAAACUCAUUCAACCUGAUUGCAACCAUUUUGGUAACUGUGAUGACGUCUCCCUUGAAGGCCCCAUCUUUGACCGUAAUUUAGCUUGUAAAUAUCACUCAGUCGACCUCGUAUGGGUUUGAUAGGAUAUAACAUUUAUUCUCCUUGCUUGGCCGCUGCAACUCACGAAUAGCCGCAGCUAAAUAAGGUGUCUGCGGCUCAACAACCAUGUUCGCAGCUCAACAUAAGGUGACCGCGGCUCAACAUAAGGUGACCGCGGCUCAACAUAAGGCGUCUGCGGCUCAACAUAAGAUGUCUGCGGCUCAACAUAGGGUGACCGCGGCUCAACAUAAGGCGUCCGUUGCUCAACAUAAAAUGUCUACGGCUCAACAUAGGGUGACCGCGGCUCAACAUAAGGCUUCCGCGACUCAACAUAGGGUGUCUGUGGCUCAACAUAAGGUCAUCAUCUCUGUUAAUAACCGCGGUCAUUUAAUAAGUUGCGUUGUGCAUUGCGGCUCAACAAGAUGAGUCGUGAUAUUUACUUCUUAAUGGCUGCGGUCACUAAUGGACCCAUCCAUUUGGUUUGCCACGUAGGUCGUGCCAAAUAUUGGUUCAAACACCUCCAUGGCGAAGAGGUGUAAUGUCCGUCUAAUGUCGGACUCAGAACCUGCUCCAUCGAGUGACUCUCUUAGAGCGUGCUGAAAUUUUUUCAGACAAUCUUGAUUUAUAUGUUUAGGCACCAUUUCAGUUAGUAAACCAAAACGCUAAUGAUCCUCUUUUAACACGUCAUCAAGUGCUACGUUUGCGAGCCAUUUGGAAACGGACUCUAUGCCUUCUAUGGCAGUCAUAUCUAGAAGUGCCAUCCGUAAAGACAUCUUUCAUUGACUGAAAGAGAUUGUUGUCGGUAUUAAGGAAAUACCUUCUCCGCCCAUAGACCAGUCAGGAAACUUGUAGAUACGAUGUAUAUCUUAUCUUGCCAAGCAUAAGCAACAACCACGUAGACCGUGCUCCAGCCAUGGCGGGCUCCGCCUCCGACAUACUUCCGGUAGACCGACAUCCGGGCUACCCUGCCAUGGUGAAGGAUUAUCAAUGCCACAACGGGAAGGUGCUCCUCCAAGCUCCACAAAAAGGCACCAUGAGAAUAUAUAUAUAUAUAUAUGUGUAAUUAGUCCCACAUCGAAAGUAUAAUAUGUGAGGGAACCUUCCUUAGCUAUAAAAGGAAGGCUUCUCAUUUGUAGAAAGGAUCUCUGAUCUAUGUCUCGAUUGAUCCAACUCCUUCCCGACUCAACUCCACACUUGUAACAACUAAGGCAUUGAUGCCUCAUGAUAGUAGAUUCAAGUGGACGUAGCCAUGCCCUCCGAUGGCAUGGUGAACCACUAUAAAUGUUGUGUCUUUGUGUGUAUGUUUAUGUUCUACCGUGCUUCUACAUAACCUACGGGUUCUUGCAGAAACAAUUGGCGCCGUCUGUGGGAAGCAUUACGAAAAGACAUGUUACUCUGCCUCCAAGAGGCAGUUCACUCAUGUCCAUGAGAGCUAUAGGGUCGUCGGGUCGACCCCAAGCCCAGGGCUUAGUAGGUAGCCCAGCCAUCGGGUCAGCAGGCCGCUCAGUAGGCUCAAGCUUUCAACGGGCCAGCAAGCCGUCCAGCCUGGUCCAACUAUCAUCAGGCCCAAGCCAUCAGGUGGCAUGGCAUGACCCGCCCAUGAGCUCUUCACUGCCUCGGCAAAAUCGGAGAUGAUUCACCGGGACCCGAUGAGUUCAUGCAUUCACAAUAGUUAGCCAUGUCGACCGGUGCUUCACCGGGAACGAUCCACUCCUCCCGCUGGCCCAUUCUUCCUCUUACUCCGAGGACCUUCAGCGACAACGUUAAUCGUUUCUCCGGCCGGGAGGAAUUCGUCAUGAGUGCAUAUGGAAGACUGGAAGAGGGGAUACGUCCAGCGUUAUCAGGGUCUCGUUGGCAGCUUUAUUACAAACUCAUUGCCUUGAGAUUCAGGUACCGAUCAGUCAACUCGGAGACUCCACCAACCAUAACACCCAGUCCAGACCCUUGUCUCCUCGACCGAGAAAGUAACUCACCGGGAACCCAUUGGCAUCAUUCACAAGUAUGUGUUUCUAGCCGUUGAGUUUAUACAAUUACCGGCAUGAACGUUCCCAUCACAACUACUCUGGGCACCCAGCCGCCCAAGUCUUAAAAAUGAGUCUUUCUCUAUCAGAGAAUCCCGCCGGCUGAUGGGCUACUCUAUCUCACCAGUCAAUAGCGCCAUGAUUGCCAUCGGGAUCGCUCCAUGCAGAAUCGCCAGAACCGCUCGCAUCUAUCCGGGUGAUCAGAAUUUUUCAAUCUUACUGGUCGUCCUAGCUUCCGAUAGCAUCACGAACAUCACCGGUAGUCAAUAAUUCUUGCUUGGGCAUGUCGGCGGUCUCUCGAUUACGACGGCUAAACCCUUCGUUGGCAUUAUCUCGAUCGAGAUUUCCAGGUUCACGCAUCUAGCGUCGCCGAAUCCGACCUAAUCAGGGAUUAGCUUCCUUCCUGGAAUAGCUCCCUUCCGGGAAUAGCUCAUCGACGAUGCCUCGUGCGGGAACACACCCAUGUUUCAACUCCCAGGCAGUUUGCCAACGGGACAACAGUUAAGAAAAAUGGAGAAAGAAUUGAGGAACUGCUGCAAACAGUAUGUCAGCUGCUCUAGACACUACCGCGAAGCAAACAGGACAGAUGUCUGGCAAUCAUCAUCUUUGCUCAUCCAACUGGUCGUACACACCACCGGUGCCAAGCUAAGUUCAUUUUUUUUCUCAUAAGCAAACAUGGCUCAUGUUUUGAAGUUUGAAAGUUAAACAUAUCAAUUGUUAGACAUAAAUGCUAGCUUUAAAUCAUGCGUAAAUCAUGCGUGUCACCUGCUUGAUUCCAUGCGUCCAGAGAGCAACUUGUUUGUUAGACACCUGUCAUUUGAUAUUUUGUGCACAAGUCUAUUGGCUAUUUGUUUACGUGUGUGUGCAUGCCCUUCUGCACCCAUCAACCAUGCACGUACGUUAGAGGUAUUGGUAAAAGUAUAGUUGCAUUGGGGUUUAUUAUAUCAACCAUAAUACAAGCCUAAUUGUCUCUAUACUUGGAUGGUUAGACCAGUCCUUACCCUUAUAAUGCUCGGCAACAGCUAUUGGGGUAUUGAGUAAACAUGUUGAGUUACUAGACAGGUAUACAAUUAUUGCAUUAUAUGAUUAGUAAUCUACUUGUUGUUUGACCUGGAGCAUUGCUCCAUGCUCACUUAUACGGGUCUUAAAAGGUGAGAACAUAGUUGUUGAUUACCCCUCAAGAUGCAUAAACAAUAUCUGAUAUAAUUACGUACAACAUUUGCAUAUAAAUAUGUCUUUAAGGUGUCAGGCCAUCAAUGCUACUCAACAACGGCAUCCCGGAGGUAGAGUUGAGUGGAACUCAACAACGGUACCGAAGUUACUCGACUAUGGUUCACCGGGGAUAGUCUAUCCAACCAUGCCCCCGGCCGGUACCCUGGCAACUUGGUCUAGAUGUGGUAUCACUCAACUCGUGCAGUACACCCAGCCAUGGAAACCCGCAACAAACGCAACUUUGUAGUCCUAGUCUAAGUUGGUCAUCGAAAUUACAGAAAUUUCACUUAUCUAUAUAUAGGUCUUAGAAGGGGGGUGCAUAGGCCUUUUUUGAAUUUUCGUUUACUUCUGUAUCCGAGGAUAGCAAUCACUUGUGCUAUCCCCGAUUCACAGGAUACGAGUUUGCAGAAAGUAAAGCAGCAAAUAAAGAAACAACACAAGGAUGUUUUUUACUCGCAGAAACCUUAAAUGCAGGGAGAAAAACUGCGUGUCUUUAACUCUUGAGAGACAAAACUUUCCACUAAGUUGAAGUAACUUCUUACAAGAAUAAUAGUUCUAGUGAUACACUACCACAGUGCUAUCCUUCUAGUCCCAAACUAGUCUAGACCUAUUCCCUCUCUUGUUUCUAAGCUCUUACAACAUGGAACACUUUCAGAAGCUUUGUUCGUGAAUUCAGCUAACCACUAGCUGAUUCAACCUUGAACACUUCUUGGGUUGGUUGCACUACACAUCCCUCAUGGUAUGCAACAUGAUAUGAGUUGAUGAAAGAAGUUUUGAGUUCAAGCUCUAAGGUUUACAGUCACGAAGAAGACUUAGAGCAGCAUGAACAAUGCAAGCUAAAAACUAGACUCAACAAAGAAAACGCAAUAAGGCAGUUUUCAACAACCAUUGAGCAAAGCCAAAGCUAUAGAUAUAUAUAGGCAGACAAGGCAUCAAAGAUGAUGCAAGCUGAUCUCAACAAGUUUCAGAAAGGUUUGGACAGAAGUGUUUGGCUCCNNNNNNNNNNNNNNNNNNNNGUCCAAACAAAGAGAUGACACAAGCAAUCUCAAUAAGACAAGAAAACCUUUCCUAAAACAUGAACGAUUCAAAGGAAGGAGCAAAGAGGCUUCAAACCCUCUUACUCAGUCCAUCAGUGGACCUUGACACAGCCGAUAGCGACUGGUCUUUGAACCAUACAGGGACCAGCUCUGCAUAGGAUAACGUAUCAUGAAAUCCUAGCUGGACCCUUGAGCAUCAAACCAUUUGGUCACGGGUUGGCAUAAACAAAACAUCUCAACCCUUAGACUGGUUUGAGUGCCAAUACACUUCCCAGAAACUCAGUUGUCCAUUUGAAUUUGAAAGCCUUAUUAAACUAAUAUAACAGACUCUGAAACUCAGGACAGCAAGAGACUCAGUACUUCGCUUGCUAUCCUCUGUGAAAAACAAUGAUAUGCAGAUGCAUGUUUUACCUGAAAUCAUAAGGGAUGGUAGUGACACUUGUUCUUGAUCAGAUAACAGUGUCUUCAAAGUGUUUUGCAGGAUAAAAGGAUUGCCAACUAUCCUUCUACCUUCAAUCUCCUCCUUUGGCAUUCCUUCACAAAACACUUCAUUUGUAGGAACACAACCUGCAGAAAACAACUUCAAGAACAAGUGAAGAAUCACAGAACUUAUAACUGAGCACACUAACAUAACAGAAAUGAAACACUGAAAAAUGAUAGUGCAUUAAACAAUAAUAAAACAUUGUAUUAAACACCCAUAGAACCAACAAUGUCUUACAAACAUAAACAGCAAGUCCUACAACUAAUUCUCCCCCUUUUUGGCAAGGAAUACCAAAGGGAAACAGAGAAUAAAAUAUCCGAGUGGUUUUAAAAGAAAUAAGGACCUGCAAUAAAAAGAACACAAAGAGUACACAUCAACUCCUACAAUGUAAGCCAACAAAGCAACAAGAUCACACAGCUUCCUCUGACUCCGCAGUAGAAGCAUCAGAGGACUCCUCAGACCCAAAGCUGGAAGAAGGGGUAGAUGAGGUGCUAUCCCCACCAGAGGGGUUAGCAAGAGGCGCAUGUGGCCCCACAGAUUCUUUCAGUUCAUUUCGCAGGGCCUCAAACUGAGCAGUAAAGGUAGCCUGAAGAGAAGCAACAUCAUUGGAAACUUGACGCUUGAUCUCUUGCUUCAGCAGGGUCUGCUCCAAAGACUCCACAUACACAUCAGACUGACUCAUUGAUUUUGCCAAGGAUAACUUGUCGACCGGAGCAGCCUCAUUUUCAUUAGCCAUGAUAUCAGAGUCAAGGACAUGGACACCAGCAUCCAAACAUAAUUUAGUGAUGACAGCAGGAAAGACAAGAGAGCUAUUCUCACGAAGAGAUGUGCCCACACCACGAAUGGCCUUGUAAAUGAAACACUCAGCUGGAAAACGAGGCUUGGAAGGGCUAGAAAUUAGAUAUUUGAUCAGAGCAGCCUGUUGGUGAGUGAUUUUGCUGGUGUUGGAAGUGGGAGUCAAGAGUGAUCUAACCACAAACCCUAAAAGCUUGCACAGCUCAGACAUAAAUUGAUUGGAAAGAUGAGAGGCAGUGAUCUCUGGCUAAGGAAAAGUGGACUGAUAAAGGGUUGCUCCUAGCUCAAGAAGAGAGACAGAUUUGAUGUAAUCAAAAACUAGUUGGACUGAGUUGGGUUCUGUGACAGGGAGAGACAUGCUAGAUCGUAUCCUAGGAGGAGAAAUGUCAACAUCCUUACCCCUAACCUUGACAACAAUGGGGCGCUGGGUAUGAACCUUCACCUUUUCUGGUGCAUUUUGGGGAAAAUUGGCAUAAAAUUCUUGAACCCAAGUCCUAUUGACCCUAUGGAAGGAUGAUAGAACUUGAUCCCAUCCCUAAUAAACAGCUAAUUUCUUAACCUCAGGAUGCAAAGUGUCAAAAGCAAUGGGUCUCUCAAACACUAUCCUCUUAUUGACAAUGGAAGUACAGAAAUAGUCUCUACCAGCCUCAGAUUGAAAGUCAGAAAGAGGAGGAACUGAAGAGUGAGAUACCUUAGCAGAUCGUUUCUUAUGAGGCAUGGUGGACUGAGGAGCCUUGCUUCCAUCCAUGGGAGCCUUGCCCUUGUCAACUGAAUUUUGAGGACCAGCACGCGAGGGCUUAGAGCUAGCGGAGGGCUUGGCAGGAGCCUUAGGAGGCGACAAACCCUUAGCCACCGAAGACCCAGAAGCAGAGACCGCAAGAGGGGCCUCAGCAAGAGCCGGAACGCCAGUAGGCUUAGUGGGAACCUGAGGAGUCGAGGUGGAUCUGGUAACCCUACGUUUAGUGGUGCAACGCUUGGAUUUGGGCUCUGGGACAAAGACAGGCACCUCUGUCCAUGCAACCUCAGUGGAGUGAGGAGAAGACCGAGUCGGAGACGACGGAGGAGAGGGAACCACAGAUGGUCCACCAGAUGAGGCUGGCUUGGCAACCUUGGCCGGAUUUUCGCCGGAAGGAGAAUGAGACCGCUUACCAGAAGCCGCAGAAGGAACUAGGUCUCUCAAAGCUUCAAGCUUUUCUGCUAUGGAGAGACCUCCAAGGGUAGCAGAAAGCCUAAGAGAUUGACCUCCAGGGAAAGGCACUUCAGCCUGAAUAGGAAGCAAAUUUAGGGGUUCAUGCAUGGUGGGUUCAUCCCCUAGAUUGACGAAAUUUGGUCCAACAGGUGUGUUCGACAUUUUUUGGCUGAGAAGGCUUUGGAUUGGAGAAAGAAGAAGAUGAAAGGAGAGGGAGUGGGUUUCAAAAAGAAGAGAGAAGAGAGAAAGACUGGUUAAGGAGAAGGCGGAAGCGUGGGACACGAUCAGAGUGUCUCGAAAACUGUCAAGCCCACUAAUCCCAACUACCCAAAACGGCUAUAAUAAUUAAAUAACCUAAUCCCAUGCAAUGAUGAUGUUUUUGGACGUGACCAAACAACACCGCCCAGACCAACCAAUGAGAACCAUGAAAAAUAGCCACGCAAGCACAAGCAAAUAAACAAGAACUUAUGGAAAAGUCCACUCAAUUCUAUACUCCCCCUAAGAGUAUGUAUAAGAGAAAGCGAAAAAUUGUUUGUAUCUGAUAAACACUCUUAUAGAAAAGGACUGCACACACAAGCUUAAGGAAAAUGACCAUUCAAUGUGCAUCCUUGAUUUUUGAAGUCAGUUUAAGCAUAAACUCAGAAGGUGACACAUUAUAACACACAAACAGACCUUGAUCAAACAAAAGCAAAUCACAUAGGUUUGUGAUAGUGACAAGUCCCAAUGGUCUCUAUUUCAUUUGCAACACUUCAGAGUGAAAAUGUAAGUGAGAUAAUGACACAUGGUGCUUGUUACUUGAGGGCAUUAACUGAGCAUUCGUUGUUAAAUGGAGCCAUGAAAUACUGGGAUAUCAACUGGUCCUGCCAUCCUUAUCUCUCCAGAAUUUGAUUUUAAAGUCCAGAGGCUACUUUUAUCCAUGAAUUUAUUUGUUCCAACAUUAAUAUCACAGCCUCAACUGAGAAAUCAACCUCAUAGGUUCAAGUAGCAGAGAAUGUGUCAUUGCUUCACAAGAUCAGUUGACCUUGGACAAUUGUGUAACAAGGACACUCAUAUGGACCCAUCAUUCGAACCCAUCGAAGGAUAGAAUACAUCUCAGAAAUCCCCACUGUAUAUCCAAAAGAGUGGAGGAUUAGCUAGUUUCAAGAAGUCAUUUGUGAUUGUCAUUUUGUUUUUUUUUUAACAUGUUCCAACUAGACUUCCUAAUUCUAAACCAAUCUCGUUUCUUCCCACCCUUAUAUCGUUCAUCACGACCAAGGAAUGUGUACUUUGAGAUUAGCCUAGAUCAUUGAGUUCUUUGAACCUCAAUCUUCAAACUAACCUCGUUUCUGCUCACCUUUGAAUUGUUCACCACAGCCAAGAAAUGUUUACUUUGAGAUUAGUUUGGAAAGCAAACUCCCCCUUAGCAUAAACUCUCAUCUCAAGUAUACACCCCAAGCUUUAGUGCAACCAAAGUGAUCAUUAAGAGUGGACAUAAGGAUACUGUAGAUUUGCAAUAAAAGUCAGACCACAUACAACAUCAUCCAAACAUGUGCACACACCUAUGUGAAGAGUAAGACUAAACCAAGGAAAGGAAAGACAGAUAGUCACCUAGGUCAAGUUCAGAAACUGACUAAGGGUACCAAGAAGGUCCUCUAACCUGAACCUGUAAAGAGGAGAUGGAAACCAAAAAAACAUUUUUUUUAAUUUUUUUCAGAACAUAUGUACACCAACAGAACACACAUACACUAGCAGGGGAAGUAUUUACUUGUUGUCACACAACCCUAUAGCCUUGCACAGACUCAAAUGCCUAGCAUUGUCAAGUGGUUUAGUGAACAAAUCAGCCAAUUGUUUUUCAGUUGGAAUGAAAGUAAGCUCUAGCAAUUUCUCUUCAACCAAGCCACGAAUGAAAUGAUAUCUGAUUUCUAUAUGCUUGGUCCUAGAAUGCAGCACUGGAUUCUUUGAGAUGUUUAUGGCAGAGGUAUUAUCACAAAAGAGAGAUAACGUACCUUGCUGGAAGCCGUAGUCUGCAAGCAUCUGCUUCAUCCACAUGAAUUGUGUGCAACAACUCCCAGCUGCUACAUACUCAGCUUGAGCAGUAAAGAGAGAGGUGCAAUUUUGCUUCUUGUUGUGCCAUGAAACAAGAUUGUUGCCUACAAAAAAGAAACCACCCGAAGUGCUUUUUCUAUCAUUUGCAUCUCCAGCCCAAUCCGAGUCAGUGUAUCCUGCAAUCUCAACAUUUGUGUCAAAAGUGUGCUUAAUUCCAUGAUCAAGAGUCCCAGCAACAUAUCGAAUUAUGCGCUUUACUGCUUUGACAUGAGAUUGUUUGGGAUUAGCUUGAUACCGAGCACACACACUGACACUAUAAGCAAUAUAUGGUCUACUAGCAGUCAAAUACAUGAGACUACCAAUCAUACUCCUAUAAUUGGUUUGGUCCACAUUAAUACCAGACAGGUCAGCACUGAUCUUGCAACUGGUGCUCAUGGGAGUGGGGAAGGCAGAGGCCGUUUCCAACCCAAACUUCUUAACAAGGUCAUGUGCAUACUUAGAUUGACAGAUAAACAGACCAUUUCGGUUUUGCACAACCUAAAGACCUAAGAAGUAGCUUAACUUACCACAUAGACUCAUUUCAAAUUCUUUCUUCAUGAGCUCAGUAAACUCAUGCACCAAAGAUGAAGAAGUAGACCCAAACACUAUGUCAUCAACAUAUAUCUGAGCAAUGAUAAUGUGCUUUGAGGUACAUUUGACAAACAUUGUUUUGUCAACUGAGCCUCGCACAUACCCAUGGUCAACAAGUUGAUUUGACAAUCUCUCAUACCAAGCCCUAGGGGCUUGCUUAAGACCAUAGAGGGCCUUAUCUAACCUAUAGACAUGGUCAGGAUGGGUAAGACUCUGGAAUCCUAGGGGCUGUUCCACAUACACUUCCUCUUUGAGGAUACCAUUCAGAAAAACACUUUUUACAUCCAUUUGAUACAAGGUAAAUUUCAAAUAGCAAGCACAGCAAGUAGAAGACGAACUGACUCAAGUCUAGCUACAGGAGAAAAAGUCUCACCAAAAUCUAGGCCUUCUAUUUGAGAAUACCCUUGCACAACAAGUCUUGCCUUGUUUCGGGUGAUAAUACAUUUUUCAUCAGUUUUGUUUUUGAACACCCAUUUGGUUCCUAUGACAUUUUUGUCCUUAGGCCUAGACACUAAAUGCCAAACAUUGCUUCUUUCAAACUGAUUCAACUCGUCUUGCAUGGCACUGAUCCAAUCAGCAUCAAGCAAGGCUUCCUUCACAUUCUUUGGCUCUAUUAUUGAAACAAAGCCAUAGUAUGUGAUAGUGUUGAUGUCAUCUCUAUGCAUAGCAACAAAACAUUUAAACACUGAGAAAUUGCUCACCAAUCAACCAGUCUUACUCCUGGUCUUUCUUGGUUCAGACACAUCCCCAAUUACAUGGGAUAGAUCAUGGUCCUUCUGUACUUGUCUUUUACCGCUUAUGUGAAUUGGCGGAAUGGCAAGUGUGGCAUCUUUCCCAGAUCCUGGAACAUCUGUGUCAUCAUCCAUCCCUGAGUCAUCAUCUCCUUAAUCAGACUUGGUUUCAGAUGAGGUAGGUUCGGCUUCCUGCUCAGACAAAACACACCCAUCAUUCUUGCAAACAAGAGCAUCAUUAACAGCCACAUUUACUGAUUCCAUAAUUUUGCAGGUUCUCUUGUUAUACACCCGAUAGGCUCGACUAUUUCCAGCAUAGCCAAGGAACACACCCUUGUCACUUUUAGCAUCAAACUUUGUCAAAUACUCUCUGUCCCUAUAGAUAAAGCAGGGACUUCCAAACACUUUGAGAUGAGCGAUAUUUGGUUUCCUACCUCUCCAGAUCUCAUAGGGAGUCAUGGUUGUUCCAGGUCUAAGAAUUACACGGUUUAAAGUGUAACAGGCAUUAUUUACUACUUCUUCCCAAAACGAAUGAUUAAGGCCAGAUGCAGCUAGCAUAACCUUGGAUAAUUCCACAAGAACCAUGUUCUUUCUUUCUACAAUGCCAUUAUGUUGUAGAGUAAUAGGGGCAGAGAAUUCAUGAUGCACACCAAACUCUUCACAAUAAUUUUCAAAAUAAGAGUUUUCGAAUUCAGUACCAUGAUCUGAUCUGAUCCUAACAAUAUGCAUGUCAUCAUUCAAUUUCUCAUUUGUGACUCUCUUAGCAACACUGUAAUAAUUUUCAAAAGUUUCACCUUUGUUAGACAAAAAUUUCACCCAAGUGAAUCUAGAGAAAUCAUCAACAAUUACAAGAGCAUACUUUCUUCCUCCAAUACUUUUAGUUUCAACUGGUCCUACUAAGUCUAGAUGCAGCAGUUCAAGAACAUGAGUAGUAGGAUCAGCAUUUAAUAGAGGAUGAGAGGUUCGAGUCAUCUUACCAACUCUACAUUCACCACACAUACCUUGGGGGAUACCUGCAAGCUUUGGUAUCCCUCUAACAGCUUCUUUUGAGGACAGCUUCACUAUAUCCUGAUGGUUCAAGUGACACAUUCGUAUGUGCCAAAGAUCUAAGGGUUCCUCACAGAUCAUAGAUCUAAAACAUAUUUGGGGUGAGAACUUCUCUUUUGCUACAACACAAUAGCAUUGAUCCCUAGUUCUCUUUCCUCUCAUUAUGCUCUUCCCAUUACCAUCUAAGACAACACAUCUCUGCUUGUCAAAGGUGACUGAGUCAUGUUCAUCAACAAUCUGACUUACACUUAGCAAACUCACUUCUAAACCCUUGACCAAAAGAACAUUUUUCAGACACGGGAGACUAGGGGCAUUUACUGUCCCGCUUCCCACUAUCGGAGCCCGAGCUCCAUCCCCAAAACCAACAUUCCCUUCUGGAUGAACGUCAUCCAUGGACAAAAACCACUUAGGAUCUCCGGUCAUGUGCCUUGAAGCACCACUGUCUAUAUACCAAGAAUCAGCACAACGCGCUGCAAGAGCUGUAAGAGCUACGCGACACACUGCUACUGUUCUAGACUCCUCAACAGACUCUAGGCUAGUCCAGACACGAGACAAGAAACACACAAUGUUUUCCUCCUCAGGGUCACUGUCACACUCAUCAACAGGCUUCGAAUCCGUGUGUGGAGGCUUGAGGGCAUAAGGUCUAGAAUCCUUCUUCUUAACCCAAGCUAGGUUUUUGUUUGGUUUUCUAGCUGCGGGAACAGACAGACCCUUAGCUAACCUGGCAAACUCCUGCAGAGAUUUCUCUAGAGUGGCUUGAAAAGAUGUGAAAAAAUUUGCAACUGACUUGUUGCCCUAAAAGCUGGAAAACUCUUGGUUUCUUCUAGGGUAUGCAUGACUGUUUUAGAGUUUCCUACAAAAAGGUCGAAUGUGACCAGGAACACCACAGUGAUGACAAGUAGGUUUGGACCUUUUUGGAGACUCGACCUUGUUGGUCACUACUUUAACAUCAAGAGCUUUGCUUUUGACAAACACAGUUCCACCGUUUUUAGAGUUCUCGCCAGUUUCAAACCCUAGACCAUGUUUGUUCUUAUCUAGUCUACCCAUUCCACAUAUCUUGGUCAAUUUUUCAGAUCCUAUUGAGAACCUAGAGAACUGUUGCUGAGAUUCUUUGAGAGAAACUUCAAGCGCUAGCUUCUCAGCCUUAAGACCACUAAGAGAUUUUUCUAGACUCAGCUUUUCGGCUCUCCAUACUUCUUGUUGGGAUAGCAAUUCAGCUUGUAUCCCUACUUUCUCUUUUUCACACUUCGCAAGAUCUUUGGUCAGAAUAUCUAUCUUAGACAACAUGGACUUUGAUGCGUUGACAAGUUCAGUGAACUUUUGCAUUCUAUCAUCAUCGUCUUCAUCCUCCGGAGUCUCGUUUUGAGACACCGUGGCAAUGAAGGCAACUAGUUCUUCAACAUGAUCUAAAGAGGAAACGGGGACAACCCGAGCUGUGAAAGCUACAGUAUCCUCCUCUUGAUCAGACAAGGGAUUCUCUUCACUAUCACUGUAAGUGACAGCAAGAGCCUUUUGAGGGCGAACCCUCCUAUUUGCACAGUCAACAGCUCUAUGUCCCACACCCUUACACUCAAAACACACAUCGCUUCUUUGAGAACUCUUACCCUUAGGAUUUCUAUCUUGACCUCUAUCCUGAGAGGGCUCAGCACGAGAAUUCCUAGGAUAUCUGUCAUGUCUCUAACACUUGAGAGACAAAACUUUCCACUAAGUUGAAGUAACUUCUUACAAGAAUAAUAGUUCUAGUGAUACACUACCACAGUGCUAUCCUUCUAGUCCCGAACUAGUCUAGACCUAUUCCCUCUCUUGUUUCUAAGCUCUUACAACAUGGAACACUUUCAGAAGCUUUGUUCGUGAAUUCAGCUAACCACUGGCUGAUUCAACCUUGAACACUUCUUGGGUUGGUUGCACUACACAUCCCUCAUGGUAUGCAACAUGAUAUGAGUUGAUGAAAGAAGUUUUGAGUUCAAGCUCUAAG